Molecule: small RNA, 597 nt
Filed under: Arthrographis chlamydospora
Lineage: Eukaryota; Fungi; Ascomycota; Dothideomycetes; Eremomycetales; Eremomycetaceae
Description: eukaryotic LSU rRNA
Rfam family: Eukaryotic large subunit ribosomal RNA
Source: RNAcentral
CAUACAAUAAGCGGAGGAAAAGAACCACAGGGAUUGCCCUAGUACGGCGAGUGAAGCGGCAACAGCUCAAAUUUGAAAUCUGGCUUCGGCCCGAGUUGUAAUUUGUAGAGGAUGCUUUUGGUGCGGUGCCUUCUGAGUUCCCUGGAACGGGACGCCAUAGAGGGUGAGAGCCCCGUAUAGUUGGACACCAAGCCUUUGUAAAGCUCCUUCGACGAGUCGAGUAGUUUGGGAAUGCUGCUCAAAAUGGGAGGUAAAUUUCUUCUAAAGCUAAAUACCGGCCAGAGACCGAUAGCGCACAAGUAGAGUGAUCGAAAGAUGAAAAGCACUUUGAAAAGAGGGUUAAAUAGCACGUGAAAUUGUUGAAAGGGAAGCGCUUAUGACCAGACUUGUUCCAGGUUGAUCAUCCAGUGUUCUCACUGGUGCACUCUGCCUGGAUCAGGCCAGCGUCGGUUUUCGUAGGGGGAUAAAGACUUCGGGAAUGUGGCUCCUCCGGGAGUGUUAUAGCCCGUUGUAUAAUACCCUUAUGGGGACCGAGGUACGCGCUCUGCAAGGACGCUGGCGUAAUGGUCAUCAGCGACCCGUCUUGAAACACGGACC